GGGUUCGGAGAUGAAGUCCGGCUCCCGUAGGAGUCCGGAUGAAGUCUACCUGCAGUCGGAGUUUGGGGAUGAAGUCCGGCUCCCGUAGGAGUCUGGAUGAAGUCUACCUACAGCCGGAGUUCGGGGAAGAAGCCCGGCUCCCGUAGGAGACCGGAUGAAGUCUACCUGUAGCCGGAGUUCGGAGAAGAAGCCCGGCUCCUGUAGGAGACCGGAUGAAGUCUACCUGCAGCCAGAGUUCGGGGAAGAAGCCCGGCUCCCGUAGGAGACCGGAUGAAGUCUACCUGCAGCCGGAGUUCGAGGAAGAAGCCCGGCUCCCGUAGGAGACCGGAUGAAGUCUACCUGCAGUCGG
RNAcentral lists this long non-coding RNA (349 nucleotides) under Elaeis guineensis (African oil palm). RNAcentral describes it as "long non-coding RNA (EGUI_LNC017828)". Lineage: Eukaryota; Viridiplantae; Streptophyta; Magnoliopsida; Arecales; Arecaceae. The record is from RNAcentral.